UUGUUUACAUGUAAGAUGCCGUUUACCUUAUCUUUUGUAAUAAGUUGAGUUUGAAGCUGUAUUUAUUUCAGAUUUUCGGUCUAUAAUUUAACUGCAUUCUAUCAGAGCGUGAUAUUUAUUUGUGUCACGGACAACCGUUGGCUGUUUGCCUUCAUGUCGUUCGAACAGAGUAAAGUACAUUGUUUUUUCUAAAAAUCAGAUAAUGAAAAAUAUUAAGUUUCAUAUAACGAUAUGUUCAACGAGCCAAGAGAAAUACCGCCUAUAGUUUAACAUGCCCUGGUCUAUUAUUGACAGAUAUGCGGGGACGACCAACGUUGGCGGGUACUUUAGACAACCGAUGGCCUGGCAGUGCCGGGUGAAUAGUGUGGUUUUAUCUUCGCGCAAAAUAUAGCUGGAAUGGACCUUACCUAGGGUUCCCGGGAUGUGGGAGCCUUUGAUUUGGUUUGACCAUUAGUUCUUCGCUGCAGGGCGUAAUUUUACCUUGGAUAGGCUGGACCGAAAGUCAAAGUCCCCACUAUUCCCCAGACCUGGGUUGUGGUAACAAUUAACUGCAAUAGUGACUUCAACUUUGAAGAAGAAGGAUCAUUGAGGAACUUCAUUAAAGCUGCCUGCAAUGUGACAAGAUACAUCCGACAACUAACUUGGGACAGGUGGACACCGUCAGAAGAGUAGAAACCAGGCGUUCUGCAAUCAAUACUAGAGACAACUAUCCGACCAAUAUGACUGCUACAAACAGCCUGUCGACCCAAACGAUUUGCACGUUUUAUCUUUAAAUCCAUUGGCGUCGCAGAGGCAUCAUCCACCUCCCUCCAAUGCAAAUUUGGGAUGAUAUCAAACAAAGCUAAUAAUGCAGUAGGGAAAACGCUACGUAUAUAUUUUAAAUCUGAAAAGACAUGCGCUUUGAAUUCACCUAGCCCCAUAGAUGACAGAUCAUUGCCGCCCAAAUUGAUCACAAUAAUGCGCGGUGCCUUGCGUGACAUGGUCUGAAGUUGAAAUUUCGGCAACAAACUUUUCCAUUGCUUCCCAGGGAACCCCAGCCACAGUAUAUUAAAGCCAUCGACCUUCAGACAGCGUCCACCUGACCCGAUAAGGGCCUAACCCGUUCGAGCCACCAGUGAGGCGCCAAUUAUCCAAAUAUAUGUAAGAACAUCAUUUAAUUAGCUGUUAUGGACUCCUUUCUUCAAGUGUUUGGCAAUUUUCCUUAACAAAAUCGACAGAAGAGAUCUGUUUCAAAUCCCAAUGACGAUCUCCUGUCUCGAGGAUUUAAGGUUUUAGUGAGCAACAAUGGCAAGGAUUUCAGCGACGAAGACACUCUUAUCACCUUUGACUCCACAUGUGUAAACUGCACGAAAGCAGACGGAAAAGUUAAUUGUGAAAUCCAGAGUGGUUUCUGUCUCAAUGACGGACGUUGUUAUAGCGAAGGAUCUACUAUCGGGUGCUACAAAUGCCAACAUGAAGACAAUAAAAUAUACGAAUGGGUUGGCAACGGGGAAUGCGGCCCCAUACCAGAACCUCAGAAAUCAAAGUUAUGGAUCAUUGGCGCAACACUUGGACCUAUCGGGGCCGUUUGGUUUUAUUGUAUUCAUAGUUUUCUACUUCAUGAAAGGAAAAGGACAAAAAUCGAAAAUGGGGUCCGUUAGUCCAAUAUACGGCCAGCACCAGAAAUAACCACUUUUCAACGACGACGACUUAAAUUUGUGGUCUGUAACCAGAAAUAAUUUGUUUACAUUCAAUUAUGUAUUUGAAACCAUUUUUCUUAAAAACAUAAAACAUAUAAACGUGUUGUAUCGCGAAUUAAAUGUGACAUUGUCUGAUAGUAAAGCAACAUUUGUGAUUAUUUUUAUAUUCUGCAAGAUUAUCUUAUGUAUCUGCAAAUCGUAUAAUAUUGUAUGCGUGUAUGUUGUGUAUGCUUCGUCUUUGUUGAUAGUGAAGAGACGAUGGAACCAAUAAAUAUAUAUCGCUUUGUA
Molecule: RNA transcript, 1967 nt
Organism: Mya arenaria
Lineage: Eukaryota; Metazoa; Mollusca; Bivalvia; Myida; Myidae
Exons: 7
Source: RefSeq, a predicted model, not a curated record